CCCUGGUUAUCUCAGUUGGUAGAGCGCUCAACUGGAAAUGGGGAGGUCCCGGGUUCGAUACCCGGACCAGGCG
This 73-nucleotide transfer RNA is filed under the name Ixodes scapularis (black-legged tick). It matches the Rfam family "tRNA". Rfam says of the family: Transfer RNA (tRNA) molecules are approximately 80 nucleotides in length. Their secondary structure includes four short double-helical elements and three loops (D, anti-codon, and T loops). The record is from Rfam by way of RNAcentral. Lineage: Eukaryota; Metazoa; Arthropoda; Arachnida; Ixodida; Ixodidae.